Homo sapiens (human) is the source of this 1576-nucleotide long non-coding RNA. Ensembl annotates it as mir-99a-let-7c cluster host gene. Its record names the gene MIR99AHG. The record is from Ensembl. NCBI's taxonomy places the organism in Eukaryota, Metazoa, Chordata, Mammalia, Primates, Hominidae.
UUUUUUUUCUUUCUCUCUCUCUGCCUCUCCAUAGAUUGUUUCUGUUUCAUGCCCUGUCUCAUUUCGCAUAGCUAAAAAAGAAUGCUAAUUAAGAUCCCUUGUCUUAACCUGAAAAAUAAUGACUCGGCUGUAAUUAGAAAUCUGGUGAGAGUUUAAAAAUUCUGGUAGGGGACCAAAAACAUCAGUUACGGUGCUUAGGAAGAAAAUGAAGAAUUAUUUUUCUGAAAUCAAGAUGGAUCUGAGAACGCUGUCUGGGCUUGGUACCAAGAGCUGGUAUUUCACAGCAGCGACCGCCUCACAGACGAGCUGUGGGAAGCAGGAGGGAGACUCUCUCUUAGGGUGCCACUACUAUGGAGACACAGCUGGGCUGAACAAGAUUUGCUUCAAACGACAACAAGAGAGACAGAAAGUAUCUGGUUCAACCGCUGCCCGAGCAGGCAGGCACCAGAAGAGCUAGCAGCCAAUCCGGCCAUGCUCGAAGCCAGCUCUGCAGCUCAGCCAAUCAGUGACAUCAUUGCUUUCUUUAGCUUGCCCAUGGUGAUGUGAAGAUGAGAAGAAAUAGCAAGGCCCAACCAGUUCUUCAUCUGGAGACAGUUCAACGUUCUGCAAACCAGAUCUUCAGGAAUUUUACUGGGAUAAUUAUCCAAAUAAAUUGCAAGCAUUCUAUCCAAAUGGAGCUCUUUCUGAGAUGAAGAGAAUUCUCAAUGUCAAGAUUUGAACAAGAAGAGAAUGGAAUACACAAUAUGGACAUCCAUAAAAAUUCAUCAGAGAGCAUUUUACUACUGAGCUGCAAAGGUAGGAAAAAUAAAUUUUUUUUGGUUAGAAAAUAUACUUCUUUCAUCUGCGUUUCAAUAAUUUAUUCCCCUUGUUAGAUAUACAUGGAAUUGAUAUUGCUUAUUCUGACUAAGUGAAAAGUGUUAUUUCUACUUACUGCUCAAUUAGAAACAUGUAGUGUUUAAUUGUCAGUUUGAAUUUUUCUUUCAUACUAUUACAGUUUAUAUUUUACUAUAGGCAGAAUUUCCUCUUUAUCCUAAAUUUUGAUAUUCUCCAUAAUUUCAUCGUGCCUUGACAUUGCUGUAUAUAAUUUCUAUACAUCAGGAAGGCAAUUCUGUGUGCAUGUGUGUGUGUAUAUAUAUAGUUAGAAGUUAGAAACUGAAACUCUUUUUUGUCUACCAUCAUUUCAUAUUUUUCUUGCUAUUUCAAACCUAUAAUUUUUAAAGAAACGACUAACGUAAUCAUUCAUAGAAUAUGCUGUCAGUAACUUAACAAUAUAAAUGUUAACAUGGAGGCAUUUAGUUCAGCAUUUGCUUUACUUAAUAGAGUGCAGAAAAUGUGGCCCUUUUCUCAGUUAGGGUGUAUGUGAAGAUAAAUUUAGAAUUUCUAGACUAGUAAAUACUUCUCUGAUAAUAACUUAAUUAUAGCUAUUUCAAACCAAAUUGUUUAAUUGUGGUGAAUCAUAUGUAAAUUGUUCAGAUGUAGGUCAACACCCACGCCCACAUUCUAGCACCUCUUUCCUAAUUCAAGACAACUUUGCAGUGCCUAAAAGAGCUGAACAGUGCAGAUUAGAGACAUAAGA